Molecule: ribosomal RNA, 835 nt
Filed under: uncultured archaeon
Lineage: Archaea
Description: bacterial SSU rRNA
Rfam family: Archaeal small subunit ribosomal RNA
Source: RNAcentral
UGAUUAAGCCAUGCGAGUCGAACGAGUUUAGGCUCGUGGCGUACGGCUCAGUAACACGUGGAUAACCUACCCUUAGGACUGGGAUAACCCUGGGAAACUGGGGAUAAUACUGGAUAGGCAAUUAUUCCUGUAAUGGUUUUUUGUUUAAAUGUUUUUUCGCCUAAGGAUGGGUCUGCGGCCGAUUAGGUAGUUGGUUAGGUAAUGGCUUACCAAGCCUUUGAUCGGUACGGGUUGUGAGAGCAAGAGCCCGGAGAUGGAACCUGAGACAAGGUUCCAGGCCCUACGGGGUGCAGCAGGCGCGAAACCUCCGCAAUGUGAGAAAUCGCGACGGGGGGAUCCCAAGUGCCAUUCUUAACGGGAUGGCUUUUCAUUAGUGUAAAGAGCUUUUGGAAUAAGAGCUGGGCAAGACCGGUGCCAGCCGCCGCGGUAACACCGGCAGCUCUAGUGGUAGCAGUUUUUAUUGGGCCUAAAGCGUCCGUAGCCGGUUUAAUAAGUCUCUGGUGAAAUCCUGCAGCUUAACUGUGGGAAUUGCUGGAGAUACUAUUAGACUUGAGAUCGGGAGAGGUUAGAGGUACUCCCAGGGUAGAGGUGAAAUUCUGUAAUCCUGGGAGGACCGCCUGUUGCGAAGGCGUCUGACUGGAACGAUUCUGACGGUGAGGGACGAAAGCUAGGGGCGCGAACCGGAUUAGAUACCCGGGUAGUCCUAGCUGUAAACGAUGCGGACUUGGUGUUGGGGUGGCUUUGAGCUGUCCCAGUGCCGAAGGGAAGCUGUUAAGUCCGCCGCCUGGGAAGUACGGUCGCAAGACUGAAACUUAAAGGAAUUGGCGGGGGAGCA